Molecule: long non-coding RNA, 14637 nt
Filed under: Linum usitatissimum (flax)
Lineage: Eukaryota; Viridiplantae; Streptophyta; Magnoliopsida; Malpighiales; Linaceae
Description: long non-coding RNA (LUSI_LNC007009)
Source: RNAcentral
AAUUAAGGCGCUGUGGAAGUCCCAUUUGCCGAGCUCGGCGGCGUCAAAGAAUGGAGCUGGUGGCGGGUCGUGGUAGUCCUUAGCCGAGAAGGAGCCUCGCUCCGCUACCACUUCUUUCGUCAUCCUUCCUUGAUGAAGUAGUUGGAAGCGGUGAAGUAGGAGAUAGACAAACAGAGAGAGUGAGAUGGGAGUGGUGAAACAGAGGAUAUGGUUUCGGGGGUAUAUAUGGACACACAGUACACUGACCUCAUCUCAUUUUUCAUUUUUUUUUAUCCCAAUAUUUCCUCUACUCAAACCAAUUAUAAAAUUAUAGGGAGGCUCCACAAUAGGAAAGUUCGGAGAUGGUUAUGUUAUACCUAUUAUUUAUUUGUAUUGUAACGGUUAUUAACCAUAAUCAUCCUCGUUUUCAUUUGGAUGACAAAAUUAAUUCCAUCACCAUACAGAUGCGGUUAACGGUUAUAAUCACUUCCAACGGUUAUAACCACUAUCCAUUAUGAAACAUUAAAAAAUCAAAAUGCAUCCACUUUAAUUCAUCUUUAAAGUAGUGGAUGAAAUAUUUUUUAUCGAAGAAUAAUAAUUGAGCUUUAUAAAAAACGAGGAGGCGAAGAGAUAUCGUCGAAGUCAAAGAUGACAAAUGAGAUAUGUUUGAUGAAGGAAUGAGUAAAUGGAUUAGAUUUAGUUUUUUUUCAUUAAUUUCAAGUACAUUUAUGUUAUCUAUCGGGCUUAUUGAGCUUAUGUAUUGACGGGUAAAUGUUGUUUAUAUAGCAGGUCGGUGAAGGUUAUGUGUAUUAUUACGGUGAUGGUGCGGUUACCACAAAACCCAUAAUCUAUCCUUACACAUUCCUAACUGUUAACGAUUAUAACCGUAUCCUCAAAAUACCCAAUCAAUGCAGUUAAUAACCGUCAAACUCGAUAAAAUUAUAUUCAAUUAAACGAUUAAAUGAUCAACAUUGCCAAACAUGAAGCAAGUAAAAUCCACGAAAUCGAAGUUGUCAGAGUUGCACACUUCCCAUGGAAGAAAGUCGAGUGAGCAUAUAUAGAAGAGGCAUACUCCAUCACUGCUUUAGCUUUGAUAGAAAAAUAUCGGCUUUGUGUAAUGAGUAAAUAUAUUGGUUUUGUUCAUCUUUGAAUUUUCUCGUACAAAUUUUUCUCUUUCAAUAUGUUUUUAUAAGUGGUGGAACGAAUAUAUUUGAGUCUCUUUUAUGAUUUCUAUAUCUCAAAACUCCAUGUUUAUAAUUAGUGUUUCUUACAAGUAUCUGUCAUGUAGACAUUAAAAGCAUACAACGUUAAGUUAGUUUUCUCGCGAUGAGAUCGAUCUUAGAAUUUGGACCGAUUCUUAAACAUACAUGCUUGCUUUCUCAUCUCUCUCAUUUAAAAUUAUAUUUGAGACAACUAAAAUUAUAUUGUAUCAGAACAAACGUUUGGUUCAUAGAGUUGAAAGUUAGGUUAGGUUUGAGCAGUAUGAAAAGACCAAAGUAGUAAGUAAACGAAGCAUGCCCAGUCUCCACCACCGUCCACCGCCACCCCACUUAUUCUUGUCGAAACUCACUACUAGUAGCCAGUAGUACUGUACUGUUCCAUCUCCGUUUCAUUAUUAAUUUACCCCACCACUUGUAUUAAUUGGCAACCUCACCUUUUACCAACUUUCUUUGAAUCUACGUAAUGGACGAUCACGAGACGCACGAGCAGCUCCAAAAUUAAUGCGGUAAGCUAACAGAAAUUAUACUAGAUAACGUCGACAUACGAAACAAGAAAGCACGACAUGAAGCGAGUGAUAAUCUGAUCGAACUCCGUAGAAAUUUCAUUGCCCACUAUCGCCAACAAACAAACGGCCACAAAUUACUCGGCGACAAUCAAACUUUCCAACCCCCACUCUUUAAUUUAAUUUUGCAUAAAGAAAUGCAUUUUGUGACCGUUAAUAAUCUACUACGAUUGAACCCCACUACUACAACGUCGUAAUAAUCUUUUGGCACAUGCUGCAAAUCGAUAAGGGCUCCACGCUUGUCUCUAAGCUAAUUAAGGAUCUAGCACUAUACCACGUACAAAUAUUUUUCUGUAUAUUUUCAACGUAUUGGAAUAUUAUCCAAAUUAAAAUCCCUAUCAAACAGUAAGGAGUUGUUGUAUAAGUUAUUUUAUGUGGUUUUUUUUAUAGAGAUGAUGUGUUAUUUGAUAAUAAUGUAUGAGUUAUUUUGGUCGAAAUAUUUCAAAUAUUAUAUUUGAAAUAAUUGAUUGUUUUGAGUUAGUCAAGUGAGGUAAUUUCUACAUCAAAAGUUCAAAAUAAUUUAUAAAUACCACAUUUUCAAAUAAUGGAUCAUUUUGCUUCAAAAUACCUAUUUAAUAUUUGGUUGACGAAAGAACCAAAAUAGUCUAAAUAUUAUGGUGCAUAAGUAUUUGCAUAACUCGAAAUGAAAUGAUUUGAAAUACCAUUGUUACGGAAAUACCAUUGAUCUAUGCCAAACGAGUUAUUUUUACAUCAGAGGACAGAUGAGUUAUGAUGUGUGACUACUCCCAUGAACUUGCUAUCUCAUUUGGGAAAUUGCGUUACGCUGGAGGUGAUGACAGGGAAACGAGUAUGCAUGCUAAUUAUAGUGCCACGUACGCUAGUGGGAUAUACAUAAUGAUGUGUGGGAGGAAAAUGGGGUAAAAAUGACAAAAGUAUGGGUAGGUGAGGUGAGUCGAAGCUGAGUGGGAUUUUGGUUUUUUUUGUCCUAAUUAGCUGGAUUUUGAAUCGUGUAGUUUCAAUAAUACGACAUAUCAAAAUUGGGUUAAGAAUUGGUCUAUAGUUAAUCACGUAUCAUUUUCUAAAAUAAAUUAAAGAUGCACGCAUAAAUACGUAACAUGAAGAAGGGGAUAGUAAGCUUAUGAGGUUGAAUUUCAAGAUCGAAGUACCGCAAAAGAAGAAUGAACAAGGCCGGCGAUGCAUUGUGUGUGAGAUGCACGAGGACACUAGCUAGCAAAGAAGAGAAGUUUUAUACCAUCACCUCAGUGUUGCCAGAGUGGUUAGGUGGAGGUUCAAAGCAACUAUAUGAAAAGUAUCACCAAGUGCAAGAGCUCAUAACAACACAACUGCAUCACAAGGAAGACCUAAUAUCUAACUCAUUCGACUCUCGAGAAUAAUGAUCCGAUACAGGUAACCUAAGACACAAGCACUACAACGAAAAGAAAAAAUUGUCGUCGCAGGCGGAUCCGAAAUAUAUCGCAGGCUAGACAUGCGACGAAAGCCAAAAUGCCUACGACAAUUUUUGCUGUGAGAAAGCUAAGUUUGUAAUAGACAAAACUCGCGAGACCAAUUUGGUCGCAGUCAACCUACAACUAGCUUUGUCGGGUGGGGUCAAAGAUGGAUCCGUUUUUUCAUGCCACCCGCGUGAAACCAUCAACAGACCCCUUUGACCCGGCCCAUUACAAAUGUGUUUUUGGUGUGGUAAAUUAUUAUUAGAUCGGUACCUGAGUAAUGGGUUGGGCCUGGAAAGCCUACUCUAAACGGGUCGGUUUAAAAACCCAUAGCCCAAACAGGUAAUAAUGUCAAAAAGUCAAAACCAUUUGAUUCGACAUGCUUUGACAGCUGAAGGCUGAAGGAGUAAUAGACAUUGUGAUGCUCUGUGGUAUCUGAUUGGCUAAUGAAAAAGCAAUAAAUCAAAAUACAGCAAAUUUUACAGAUCGGGACGGGAGAAGAGAAGAGAAGAGAAGAGACGAGAGGACGACACCAUCAUUAACUGCAAAACCGAUAACCGAUAGUUUCUUAUCGCUUCCAUUUCUGAUCUCUCAACGCUCACACUCUCUCUAUUCACGCCUCCGUCUUUCCUCUUCCCGUGACCGUUCCUCCAAUUCAUACUGUAAGCUCUUUUUCUCUCUGUCGAGACCGAUCGGUUUCCCUGGUGCCUCAAUUUCUUCAAUGUUUGUCGUCUUGUUUCCAGGGGAAAAUCGGCUGCCAAAAUGGGGCUGCUAUCUGGAAUGUUCUUGGGAGUGACGUUCGGGAUCGCACUUAUGGCUGGUUGGAACCACAUGAUGAAGUACCGUAGCAACAAACGAAUUUCAAAGGCACGCGCCCCCGUCCGCUCUUGUUUCUUUCUAAUUUCGUUUUCAGAGUUUACGUUUUGCUUGUAGCUGGUGGAGUGUUUUGAAGCUUCUGUUGCAGAAACCGAUUGUUUGAUUGUGCUGGAAAUUGUGAAAGAUGGCUGGAACUUCUCUAAUUCUGUUGAUGAUGCCUUGAGCAACUAUCUUUCUUGCCAAGAUACUGAAUGCAUGUUAGCUGUUCGAGUGUCUUGUUUGAGAUUGUGGAGUUAUUUUUUUAUGCUGUUGAUCGUAUGAAGUUCGAACUGGGGAAGUGGAGGAUUUCCUAUGGAAUCAGUGUUCACCAUUACUUCUUAUUGUUCCAUGUCCUGCAGGCUGCUGAUAUUAAACUCCUUGGAACUCUGAACAGAGAUGAUUUGAAGAAAUUAUGUGGUGAUAAUUUUCCCGAGUGGAUAUCUUUCCCAGUGUUUGAACAGGUUUACUUCUCUACUCAAUCAACCUGCUAGAGUGAUUCGUGGCUUUUCUUUCCUAUGUGUUGUUGUUCUUCUAUUUCCUGGUGAUGCUUCCUCAAAAAUAAUGUUCUACAUUUCUAACUUUACUAAAAGCAUCAGAAGGGUGUCAUUUCGAAUUUUGCCACCAACAACAGCUUCUAACACGUUAUGUUUUGUUAAUUAAUGUGUUAAAAAGAUAUGCCGGAAAGCCAAAAAUUCAAACUAGCUCCCAGUGUGUAUUGUAUUCUUGGUCUGUAUAUGAACUCAAGCAUGCAAGGUCAUCGUAACCUGGUUUUGUCUCUCACCGGAUACUGUGGACAGUGUACUUUGCAGGGUGAAAAGUGUUAAGGUAGCAGUCUAUUUCCCUUGAUAAAGCUUGGUUUUAUGACAUCGCGUUCUUGCUGAUCUUGCAGGUGAAAUGGAUGAACAAGAAACUAGGCAAGCUAUGGCCCUAUGUCGCUGAUGUAAGUUCUUACUUUUCUUCUCAGAUGCUUUUGUCAUGGUUACAUGCAUUUUUAGCCUGGUAUUCUUUGGUAUUGUGCAUACAUCUGGACAGAAUAGUCAGACUAUGUCUAAUUUGAAGUCUAGGUAAUAUGAUAAAAUUCAUCUUUCACAAAGAAUUUGUGUGCCUUUUACAUUUUAUCAACUACCAUUGGAAGAAGCUGAACUUUGAUGGGUAUGUUUGUUGAAAGGCUGCGACUAUGGUGGUUAAAGAAUCUGUUGAACCACUGCUAGAAGAGUACAGACCUCCUGGUAUCACUUCAUUGAAGUUUAAUAAGUUUUCCAUGGGAACUGUGCCGCCUAAAAUUGAAGGUACAUGCUAGAUUUGUCCAUCUUUCACCUAUUCGUCAGCUUUGUUGGUGUUGUCUUCACACCUUUGUCACUUUAGAAAUUUCUUAAACUAUGUAAAGUAUUAUUGGAUUUCCUCGCUUUAAGUUCUGCAAGAAACUAUAUGAAAAUGGCUUUACAAAGACUUAUCUUCUUCUAAUAGGAGAUCUAUCUUAUUCGGAACUGUAAAAAGGCGUCAUAAGUUAGAUUUCUAUUUGCAGGCUCUAUAUUUUGAUGUAUGCAUUGUGCAUCCUUUCUAACAAUCUCCUCCAUAUCAAUUGUACAAAAAAUGAAGGUAUACGUGUUCAAAGUCUGAAGAAAGGUCAAGUUAUUAUGGAUAUAGAUUUUCGAUGGUGUGGUGAUCCAAGCAUCAUCCUAGGUGUUGAAGCUGCAAUGGUUGCCUCAAUACCAAUUCAGGUUUGUUAAUUGUACAACGACUUUAGAUAAUGCAAGACUUUACAGUUUUACUUGCUUUUGUCGUUUCCAUCAUUUAGUUUUAUAACGGAAGAAUAAUGAAUGAUUUCGUGACGCAACUUGGUGCAGCUGAAGGAUCUUGAGAUGUACUCUGUUAUUCGGGUUAUCUUCCAACUUUCUGAGGAGAUACCAUGCAUUUCUGCUGUUGUCGUUGCUUUGCUUUCUGAGGUAUGUCUAAGUUUCCUGUUGAAGUUAAAAAAAGUAGAAAGAAUAUCUAGGAAAUGUUAUCUUUUAAGAUUUAUUCGCAGCAUUUGACAGAAUUGUCAAACGCAGUGAUACUAUAUUGACAUUUCUAGCUUAGUAAGAUGAUGUUUGCCACAGGGCAUAGGCUCUUCAACCAUUAUUUUUUGUUUGGGAUGGAACUGACUCAUUCAUGUCUUAUUACCCAGCCAAAGCCUAAAAUUGAGUACGUUCUAAAAGCUGUUGGUGGAAGCAUAUCUGCCAUACCCGGUUUGUCAGAUAUGAUCGAUGUAAGUAAACAUUGGCUUACAUGCAUGUCUUCACUCCCAUUUCUGUCUUAUUCCAUCGAAUAUAUUUGGCUCAUCAUGCUGUUGCUUAUAUCCGCAACAGGAUACAGUCCAAUCAAUUGUUACCGAUAUGCUUCAGUGGCCUCACAGAAUUGUUGUUCCAAUUGGUGGCAUACCUGUUGAUACCAGGUAAUAAUUCCCUCGUAGCUGUCUUCAGCUCUUCUUUAGAUUAUCAGCUGAGUUGACUUUGAUUCCAUGUGUUGCAGUGAUUUGGAGCUUAAACCCCAAGGGAAGCUGACGGUGACAGUAGUUAAAGCAAAUGAUUUGAAGAACAUGGAAAUGAUUGGAAAGUCCGAUCCAUAUGUUACUCUACAUAUCCGACCGGUGUUCAAGGUCAAGACACAUACAGUGGAAAACAAUCUCAAUCCUGUCUUUAAUCAGACGUUUGAGUUGAUCGCUGAAGACAAAGAGACUCAAUCACUUAUUCUCGAGGUGCUAUACUCUUUACAUUCCUACUUUCACUGCUUUAUGGUGCACCCUUGGCAUACAAUGCUCCUUCACUUCAGAAUUGAAGUCCUGCCUCUCUAACUGAAAGAUCUCAUGAUACCCUUUCGGCAGGUGUUUGAUAAAGACAUCGGCCAAGACAAGCGAUUGGGAAUCGUGAAGUUACCGCUCGUUGAUCUCGAAGCAGAGUCUUGGAAAGAUAUGGAGUUGAGACUUUUGCCGGCGCUUGAUAUGAUGAAAAUUAAAGAUAAGAAGGAUAGAGGAACUCUUACGCUGAAGGUCAGACUCUUUUGAAUCCUCCCUCUGUCUUUUUGGCUAUAGAGCUGACAUCAGACAACCAACCUGCCUUUUAUUCGUAGGGGGUCCUUACAUCUUAAGGAAGUUGCCCUGGGCCCAAAACCAGCCUUUUCCCAGUACUAGAUUUAAGUAUAAAUUGAUAGCUAUUGGUAGUUCGAUCUAGUGAUGACGUUGAAUGAAAUAAUAUAAAUUUAGGUGAAUGAGUGAAUCAAUUCAAAAUUUGCAUUAGUUGAUAACCGAGAAUUUACUACAAUUUAAACCAAAUUAUACAUUGUUGAUCUCGAAGCAGGGUCUUGGAAAGAUAUGGAGUUGAGACUUUUGCCGGCGCUUGAUAUGAUGAAGAUUAAAGAUAAGAAGGAUAGAGGAACUCUUACGCUUAAGGUCAGACUCUUUUGAAUCCUCCCUCUGUCUUUUUGGCUAUAGAGCUGACAUCAGACAACCAACCUGCCUUUUAUUCGUAGGGGGUCCUUACAUCUUAAGGAAGUUGCCCUGGGCCCAAAACCAGCCUUUUCCCAGUACUAGAUUUAAGUAUAAAUUGAUAGCUAUUGGUAGUUCGAUCUAGUGAUGACGUUGAAUGAAAUAAUAUAAAUUUAGGUGAAUGAGUGAAUCAAUUCAAAAUUUGCAUUAGUUGAUAACCGAGAAUUUACUACAAUUUAAACCAAAUUAUACAUACAUGGAUCCAAAAAGUAUAAGAAAUUUAGUGUUGGAACAUAAUUUCGAAUAUUUAAAUGAUUUUUAAGUAGUGUUGUGAGAUUUUCUGGGUGAAAUUCAGGGCGUUGAUGUAACAUAUCCAUCAUUCAUAAUUAAACGAGUUUCAGAAACACCAAACAAAUCGUACAAUAACUAAUAAGGGAGGGAUGGAUCGUUAAGCUCAAUAGAAUAGAAUCUUAGAGACGAAGAAUGACCUCUAUUAGCUACCAUGUCAAUGUAAGUUUUACUUUACGGUAUUAUUUUUUCUAUACAUGAUCCCUCUUAUUUAGUUAUUUGUCCUACAUUCGUGGCAUCACAACCCACUUGGUAUUAUUUCCCCUGGCAAAGGUACUGUACCACGAAUUCAGCAAAGAGGAGCAGAUGGCUGCUUUGGAGGAGGAGAAGAGGGUCUUAGAAGAAAGGAAGAAACUGAAAGAAGCAGGAGUAAUAGGGAGCACAAUGGACGCCCUCGACGGUGCAGCUUCGUUAGUUGGCACGGGUCUAGCCGGAGGGGCUGGGCUCGUGGGGAGCGGCAUUGGAGCCGGAGCUAACCUGGUAGGAAGCGGGGUGUCGGGUGGGGUUGGCAUGGUUGGGAGUGGGCUUAGCAAAGCUGGAAAGUUCAUGGGGAGGACGAUUACUGGUCAGAGCAGCAAGAGGAGUAGCUCUAAUUCUUCUACCCCCACCGGUCAGGAAAACGGCGCAGGAAAGCAGCUCUAGAUGAAGAGAGUAUUUUGCAGGGUACGUACUCUUUCGCCUCUCUGCUCAAAUGUGUGUACGAUUGUGUUGUUUUCUGUUGGAUUUGGAUUCUUGUGUGCCAAAUGUUAGUAGAUAUGGAUGAAUGUUUUAACCAACAUUCUGUACAAAAAAAAAAAAGAAAUAAUUUGAUUGCGCUCGCUAAAAUAUUAUCCACUUUUCUCGUGGACCUUUUGCUUUGGUAUAGUUAGUUGAUUGGAUUGCUUUCUGUAGUCUUUGUUUGUUUUUACUUUAUAGAUUAAACAUAAGGAGGGUUAAUUAAACAAACUAAUUUAAGGAUGUAAGACAGAUCGAUUAAUCAAAUACACAAAGCACCAUUAAAACUAAGUAAAGGCAGGCCAGGCCAGGCCGACAAGGCGUGAGCUUAGAGUGGGGGAAUCAAGCUGGUUGGGUGGUGAAGUCACGUGAUCUCAUCACCAGUUUUAGUUUCCUUGGGGCCACAGCUUCACGUUUCCUUUUUUUCGAGGACGGGAUUCUGGAUUCCUGCCAAAUAAAUAAGUCAAAUUUACAGGCUUGAAAUUUACCCAACUUGUGAAAUUAGUAGAGAGAGAACGUCCCUUUCAUCGUUCUAAGAUUGAGGUCAAACCUCCAAUUGGCGGCAGCAGUUGACUCAACAGUCUUCUCCAUCUGUUGCCUCUCAUGAAUGUCAAACACUAUAUAAUUUAGAUGGUGACGUAAAUGGGCCGGCUUGGUUUACUUCAGCCCUAAUUCAAUAAAUUUAUAUUAUAUAGUUUGAUUGUAAUCUAAUUAACGUUAACCUUUCCUAUGUGUUUCGGAAAGACAACUUGUUUGGCUCAUACAAGUUAUUUUGGUCGUAAAAGAAAACAUUACAACUGCUUUGUUAUAACUAAAGAUAUUAGUUACUCGGUUGUUAAUUUUGUUAAUGUUAGUGAUCUACGUGUGAUUUGAGAAGACAUUCUUCAUGGUUAAGAAACCACAAGUGCCAAGGACAUACAUACAUACAUAGGCCAACUAGGCACAAUGGUCAAAGGCAAAAGGUUGCGUGAAAAGCUGUUUCGACCCGUGAACCGACUUAGAACCCCAUUGGCCAAACCAAACCUUGAUACCCCCGUGGUUUCAUAACUUUGUCAACCCGGAGAGAGAGAGCACAAAUAUCAUCAUCAUGCUCAUUGAGCCACGUGACCCAUUUCUCUGUCUCUGUACUCCCUGUCGCCCUACAUAAAAUAUUGUUACCAGUUCUUCCCAAGUCAAAGAGAUAGCUGUAAAAAUGGAUGUAACCAACUCCUAAUUUCCCCGGUGAAAUUACUCGAAAAUAGACAAUAAUACCUUCACAUGACAGUUAAGAGAUGAAACCCUCACUGCCCAACCAAAACACGCCACGUAUCCGUCUCCUCCCCUGCCUCUCUCACGUGCCUCUGUCACCCACCACAUUCCUUUCCUCCUCCCUCCUUCUUCAGUCCUUAUCCUUCACUCACUCGCUCACUCCCCAACACAAACCAGCAGCUGGAGACAGAGAGAUAGAUUUUUUUACUUCUUCAUGAAGCCCUGAAACUGUCACCUCCACUUUCCCUAAUAUUUACGCACCAUGCCAUCCCGCCUUCUCCUCUCUCUUCCUUCGCCGGAGCAUCACCACCGUACACACCACCACAACCACCUCCCUGCAAUCCUCGCGGGAUCAUUGGCUUUCGCUCUCAUCUCCCUCCUCUUUCUAUUCGUCUUCCUCUACCGUAAGCUCUCCCGCCACCGCACCGCCCCAACUUCUUCUUCUUCUUCAGACCUCAAAUCGCCCACUCAUCUCCAAACCACCAACAAAUGCCGUCACUUCUCUUACUCUCUCCUCCGCCGCGCCACUGCUUCUUUCUCCACCUCCAACCGCCUCGGCCACGGCGGCUUCGGUUGCGUCUACAAAGCCGUCCUGUCCUCUUCCUCCUCGCUCGCCGUCAAGGUCAUGGACCCAAACGGCUCACUGCAAGGCGAGCGAGAGUUUCACAACGAACUCUCCAUCGCAUCAUCUCUCGACUCGCCCUACAUUGUCAGCCUCCUUGGCUACUCUACCGACCGCCGGAAGCGGAAGCUGGUGCUCGUGUACGAGCUGAUGGAGAACCGGAGCUUGCAGGAGGCUCUGAUGGAUCGCAAGUGCGAGGAGCUCAUGGACUGGAGCAAGCGGUAUAGUGUGAUGACUGAUGUUGCUAGAGGCUUAGAGUACCUCCACCAUUUCUGUAACCCUCCCGUGAUUCACGGCGACGUUAAGCCCAGCAAUAUCUUGCUGGAUUCGGAUUUCAACGCCAAGAUCGGCGAUUUCGGCCUCGCUAGAUUGAAGACGGAGGAAAUCGCCGAGUGCGCCGUCGGAGAAGACAACGGAUCUAUUCUGGAGGAGGCGGCGGAGAGUGUUGCAGCGACGACUGGAUACGAAGACAGCUCCACCACCGCGGCAGCAGGUGUCGAUCAAUCGCCGGUGAGUUUGUCUAGUAAGGUUUUGGAUUCGGAUGCGUCGCCGGAGGCGGCGGCGAGGAGCAUGUCGGAGGCGGAUCGAGUGAGUAUGGAGAGUGGGAGAGAUUUGGAGAAUGGAGGAGGAAAGAAAGGUGGAUCGAGAAGGGAUUGGUGGUGGAAGCAGGACAAUGGAGUUGAAUCGGAGUCUGGAAGAGUGAAGGAUUACGUAAUGGAAUGGAUUGGGAGUGAGAUCAGUAAAGAGAAUAGAUCGAAACCUGGAUGGAAUAAUCUCGAAUCCCCAAGCUCCGUCGAUAACAGUCUUUUGACGACGACGACGAGCUUAAAGAUCGAGAAGAAGAAGAAGAUAAGGAAGCGAUUGGAAUGGUGGGCGUCUCUAGACGAAGAGAGGAGGAUGAAGAAAAAGGAAAAGAAUCGGAAACCUAGAGAAUGGUGGAAGGAAGAGUUCUGCGACGAGCUAACAAAGAAGAACGGGAAGAAGAAGAAGAAGAAAAGCAACGGCGGAGGAGAGUCAUGGUGGCAGAAGGAUGAAGAUUCAGAUUGGACUACUUCGACGACGGCGACUAAGAAGAAGAGGAAAAGCAGAGGGAGCAUUGACUGGUGGAUGGACGGAUUAAGCGGCGAAUUCAGAAGGAGGAACAGCAGCAGCCACGAUUGGGCAAGCGGCGAAAUCCCAAAGAGCGGCGGGAUAAGCAGCACCCCUAGCAUGCGAGGAACGGAGUGCUAAGUCGCGCCGGAGUACGGCGGCGGAGGAGCUGGAUGCCAGCUGUCGGAGAAGUGUGAUGUUUACAGCUUCGGCGUGUUGCUACUCGUGGUGGUUUCAGGGCGUAGGCCGCUCCAAGUUACGGCAUCCCCCAUGUCCGAAUUCGAGAGAGCUAAUCUGAUCUCGUGGGCUAGGCAGCUAGCUCACAACGGCAAGCUAUUGGAUCUCGUUGAUCCUUUGAUACAUUCGUUGGAUAAACACCAAGCAUUGCUUGUUAUUACGAUCGCAUUGCUUUGCCUGCAGAGAUCGCCUAGCAAGCGGCCGUCCAUUAAGGAGAUCGUGGAGAUGCUCUCCGGCGAGGCCGAUCCACCGCAUUUGCCUUUCGAGUUUUCGCCCUCUCCGCCGUCCAAUUUCCCGUUCAAGUCAAGGAAGAAAGCUCACCGGUGAGUAGUUAAGUUGCUUACUGUAGUCUGUGUGUCUCUCUGUAUCUUGUCUUUUGUACAAGUUAGUUGCCAUUAUUGAAUUCAAUACAGGAAAUCAGGAUUCUUCCACCAUUACUUUCUCAUCUGAGUUUUGACCUCUGCUACUCGAAUCCAAUGACUAACAGUAGACGUAGAGAGUAAAACCUUUUACUGACAAAGUGCUUAAAGCUCAUAUCUUUGCUCAAGUGCUUAAAGCUAGUGAUAGUCAGCUUUAGCACUGACUUUAAUGGUGCUCUAAAGUUGCAUGAAAUUCAGUACAGCAAGCUGCAAAAUCAUCAUGGCUGGCUGGGUGGGAAAAUGAUUCUGCUCUCUGCAGUCACAUUGCACAUUAUGGUUUUCAUUUGUCACUAAUGUUUGUGCCUCCUGGGUCCCAUCCAUGGAUGCUCUUAGUAGCACUGAUUAUGGAGGCAAUAAAAGCCAUCAUCAAUCAAAAUCAAAAGCUACCUCAAAUUGCAGAUAAUGGUUGGUUCCUUUUCCUUCCCUUUUGCAUUGAUGUGUUUGCUUAAAUGAUUGCUGAGAAUGCUUCAUUUCUACGAAACUUGUAAUGAAAUGAAGAUCCCCACUGGUUUAGUUUUGGGACAGACGCUAAUAAGCUUAUCUUUGUGUUCAUGAACCUGUUCACUGUUCAGCUUCUGGUUUCGGAUUGAUUUGUUGAAAAGACAGAGACUUGCUGCCUGAAAUAUAAGAUAAGCUUAUAUCCAACUCGUAAUUACUUGAGAAAACCUUGCAAGUUGUGAUGUUUCUCCCCCAUUUCUACUGCGUUCCUGCUUGGUGAGAAAUGUUUAGCCGUGUGUCGUUUUCUUUUCUGUAUAUUCUCGGCAUUGGUAGGCGGAUCUUUCUAGGCAGAUAGGUCUGAGAAUUGGUUAUUAAUUAUCGAUCAAUUUGGUUAUUAAUCGUCUCUUUUGGUCGGUUAACUGCCUUAGCCGAUUGGAUUUGGUUGGAGAACCGAUCAUUAACCGACCAUCAUGGUUAUAACCGUUGGUAAAUUGAAAGACCAAUUUAACCGAUUGGUUAAUAUCACAAUUGUGGUAGUUUCUAUUGAAUUUGGGGUAAUUUACUUAGGAUUUGGGGAUAAUGUCACUUUUCUUAACCGACAAUUUAACCGUUUUAAUAGAUUAUCUGAUUUCAUCAAAUGUGUAGAUCGUUUCAUCGACCGAUCUAAUUUUGGUUAAACUGUUUUAACCAGUUAACCAAACCAAGAAGCCAGCCCUAGUAAGAUAGACAUACUAAUUUUGUAUGUCACCCAAAAGUCAAAACCACCUGUUACAUUCAUCUCUGCUUACCCAUUAAAGAAUGGAGUGGACCAACUCAGGACAUCAACGGUCCGGAUCUCCUGAUUUUAGAGGGACAAAAUCGUAAAUUUUGAAACUUGAAGUAAAUUUUAUAUUUGCUAGCAACUGUACAUAAAAUCUUAUCUAGAGUCCGACUAUUUUAGAAUCUGCCGUUGUCAUCAUCCACCAUAACAUGAGCAUGCAUCAUCUUUCUAAGUGGCGUUCCGGUAAAAAAGAAGGUUAGCAUAUCUCCAAGCUCCAAUUCAAAGUUGGGUUAGCUGACGGCGACCCGCCCAGCUCCGUAAUGGCACAGAUAGUGGAAUUUCCGGCCGCUCCCCACGAGCUAUAUCAACGCUGGUUACCUCCCCCGCCUAUUGUGUCAAUUUGUUUUUGGGUUUGGAGUUUAUAGUUUUGAUUUACUAUAAUCGCUAUUUUUUGUUGGUUUCUUUAGUUUUAUUUAUUUAUAUUCAGCGAGUAUUUGUGCCGUGUCUUGAGUAUUUUUUUAUCUGUCGUAUUAUUUAAAAUUGUGAUUUGUGAAGAUUAAAACCGCAAGAAUUAACUGUUUCUCCUUUACGCUCCGUAUGCGGGAAGCUCCUUGCGUAAUGGAACGCGGUGCGUUGAAUAGGCAAACAUUAGGAUGUUUUUUCUUUUGUGAUUAACUAUUGCCAUGUUUUAUUGUUUCUCAUACUGUUAUAGUUUCCUUGAUUUCUGAUAAUAGAAAGAUUACCACUAUUUCUUCUAUCAUUACUUCUCUCAUCCACGUCUGUUUAGUGGCCUAAAUAUAAAAUAUGGGAAUUGAUGUAAGACAUCCUACUUUUUAUUAUCCUAAAUAUAAAAUAUGGGAAUUGAUGUAAGACAUCUUAUUUUUUAUUAUCUUAAAUAUAAAAUAUGGAAAUUAAUGUAAUACAUCCUAUUUUUUAUUAUCCAAAACGCACUGACAUUUGAAUUCAAUAAGUAAAAUUACGUGAUGUCCUUUAAACCUAAUGUUUAAAUACACACAUGACGUAACUCAAAUCAAACACACUAUCUAAUUCGAAUCUCUCAGCUCUCUGAAAUACAAUCCUCUUCUCCUAAGAGUUGGGCCACAGCCAGCCGUCGCUUGCUCGCCAUCUCCAGCCACUCGCCGCCGCCGCUCGCCUCACACGGCCCCACCCGCUGGAAGCUGCCAACACUCUGUCGCCGCCGCCGCUUCCUCUACUCUCAUAUCCGUCGCAAGUCCGCCCCAAGCCGCCGCCUGUCGUUGAGGUACGAGAUUCA